AUGCCUCCGUUCAAGUUGGAGCAGAACAGAAUCCCAGCAAACCCAGAGAAUGCAUUCAAUCAAAUGAACCGAUCUUGUAGAAACACUGGAAUCAUUUAUGCAUUGCAGUUUCUCUUUCUUGUUUUCGCUCCUUCUUUCCUGGGAUAUUUUGAGUGGAUUGUGGCUAUUAAUCAAGAUCUCGUGCUAUUCGUGGGUUGCUUGUCGUUUUCGCUCAGGAUUAGCAUCAUUCAAGGCAAACGCAAAGCUGUUUUUUUUUCCCCUACUCUUUUCUGAAAAAUCAUUUUUGGGGGCUGCUGAAGAGAGCUAGGACCCAGGAGACACCUUCCCAAACAGCAGGGGUUGUGUGCUUUCACACAGCAGUACUGUACAAGGAAAACCCCGUCGGAUCUGUUAUUGCGGGAUACUUGUGAAAUAUCAUAGGAUUCUUUCUUAUGGCUGCAUCCCGGAUCUGGAAAUUUUACUUGGGGACCAAGAGGAUCUGAAGGGCUACAUGUAUACAGAAGAUUUGCAAGCAAGACUCCGAUUCUUGUCAUAGAGCUCUCAGACUUCCUCACUUACCGGCCUUUUUCCUUCCUCCUUUAAAAAAAAAUUUCUUCCCUCUUUUUCUGCUCUCUCCUCUCUCAGUGUCUCCUUCUCUAUCUGCCUCUUCUUUUUUCUCCUAGUCGUCUUUUCCCCCCCUGCUCUGCACCUGGAUUGUAUCUUCACCAAACAAUCGGGCACUUUGAGAACUAACUGGAGGCAGUCUUGUAGGGAAGAGCUGUAUGGAAUUAUCUGCUUUUAUGGUGAACUUGGCAUUUGUGAAUGGGUAUCUUGUUCACGAUAUUAAUUGCUAGCAAAAACAAGAAAAAGAACACAGGAGUAAAACGUGGAUUUUUCUGAAUACGCAUUGUGAUGACCAGCAAUUACCUUGCCGACUGAUAUCCAGAGGAGAAUAAUUUGGAAGACUGUUGUGGGUAAGGUCAUUUUAUAUAUGCAAACCCAUCAGUGGCGUGAGCAAACUUGGGCAUCUGUAAUGGGAAUGGGUGACUUGGAUGAUUGCUGCAUCGCAUUGAUGGCUGUGAUGUGGCCGUUAUUGGCACUGAAUGGAAUAACUGCAGUUGGGUGUGUUGGUG
This 1112-nucleotide long non-coding RNA is filed under the name Vulpes vulpes (red fox). RNAcentral describes it as "lncRNA (ENSVVUG00000012323.1)". Lineage: Eukaryota; Metazoa; Chordata; Mammalia; Carnivora; Canidae. The record is from RNAcentral.